RNAcentral lists this ribosomal RNA (1435 nucleotides) under uncultured marine bacterium. Its description in RNAcentral is "bacterial SSU rRNA". It matches the Rfam family "Bacterial small subunit ribosomal RNA". The record is from RNAcentral.
GAGUUUGAUCCUGGCUCAGAACGUACGCUGGCGGCACGCCUAACACAUGCAAGUCGAACGAAGUAGCAAUACUUAGUGGCAGACGGGUGAGUAACAUGUAGGUAUCUGCCCUUUGGCCUGGAAUAACACGAGGAAACUUGUGCUAAUACCGGAUAAGUCUUUACGGAGAAAGCUUUAUGCACCAUUGGAUGAGCCUGCACUUGAUUAGUUUGUUGGUAGGGUAAUGGCCUACCAAGACUAUGAUCAAUAGCUGAUUUGAGAGGAUGAUCAGCCACAUUGGGACUGAGACACGGCCCAAACUCCUACGGGAGGCAGCAGUGGGGAAUCUUGCACAAUGGAGGAAACUCUGAUGCAGCGAUGCCGCGUGAGUGAAGAAGGCCCUUGGGUUGUAAAGCUCUUUCGUCGGGGAAGAAAAUGACUGUACCCGAAUAAGAAGGUCCGGCUAACUUCGUGCCAGCAGCCGCGGUAAUACGAAGGGACCUAGCGUAGUUCGGAAUUACUGGGCUUAAAGAGUUCGUAGGUGGUUGAAAAAGUUGGUGGUGAAAUCCCAGAGCUUAACUCUGGAACUGCCAUCAAAACUUUUCAGCUAGAGUUUGAUAGAGGAAAGCAGAAUUUCUAGUGUAGAGGUGAAAUUCGUAGAUAUUAGAAAGAAUACCAAUUGCGAAGGCAGCUUUCUGGAUCAUUACUGACACUGAGGAACGAAAGCAUGGGUAGCGAAGAGGAUUAGAUACCCUCGUAGUCCAUGCCGUAAACGAUGUGUGUUAGACGUUGGAAAUUUAUUUUCAGUGUCGCAGCGAAAGCGAUAAACACACCGCCUGGGGAGUACGACCGCAAGGUUAAAACUCAAAUGAAUUGACGGGGACCCGCACAAGUAGUGGAGCAUGUGGUUUAAUUCGAAGAUACGCGCAGAACCUUACCAACACUUGACAUGUUCGUCGCGACUUUAAGAGAUUAAAGUUUUCGGUUCGGCCGGACGAAACACAGGUGCUGCAUGGCUGUCGUCAGCUCGUGUCGUGAGAUGUUGGGUUAAGUCCCGCAACGAGCGCAACCCUCACUUUUAGUUGCCAUCAUUUAGUUGGGCACUCUGAAAGAACUGCCAGUGAUAAGCUGGAGGAAGGUGGGGAUGACGUCAAGUCCUCAUGGCCCUUACGUGUUGGGCUACACACGUGCUACAAUGGUAUCUACAACAGGAAGCAAGACGGCGACGUUUAGCAAAUCCUUAAAAGAUACCUCAGUUCGGAUUGCACUCUGCAACUCGAGUGCAUGAAGCUGGAAUUACUAGUAAUCGUGGAUCAGCGUGCCACGGUGAAUGCGUUCCCGGGUCUUGUACACACCGCCCGUCACACCAUGGGAGUUGGUUCUACCUUAAGGCAAGGCUUUAAACCCUUGACCACGGUAUAGUCAGCGACUGGGGUGAAGUCGUAACAAGGUAACC